RNAcentral lists this ribosomal RNA (274 nucleotides) under uncultured bacterium. RNAcentral's name for it is "partial 16S ribosomal RNA". It matches the Rfam family "Bacterial small subunit ribosomal RNA", at positions 523 to 796 of the family's 1533-position model. The record is from RNAcentral.
AUACGGAGGGUGCAAGCGUUAAUCGGAAUUACUGGGCGUAAAGAGUACGUAGGCGGUUUGUUAAGUUAGAUGUGAAAGCCCCGGGCUUAACGUGGGAACUGCAUUUGAAACUGGGUAACUAGAGUUUAGUAGAGGGGAGUGGAAUUUCAGGUGUAGCGGUGAAAUGCGUAGAGAUCUGAAGGAACACCAGUGGCGAAGGCGACUCCCUGGACUAAAACUGACGCUGAGGUACGAAAGCGUGGGUAGCAAACCGGAUUAGAAACCCCAGUAGUCC